This 470-nucleotide ribosomal RNA is filed under the name uncultured Curtobacterium sp. RNAcentral describes it as "bacterial SSU rRNA". It matches the Rfam family "Bacterial small subunit ribosomal RNA", at positions 910 to 1382 of the family's 1533-position model. The record is from RNAcentral. Lineage: Bacteria; Bacillati; Actinomycetota; Actinomycetes; Micrococcales; Microbacteriaceae.
UUGACGGGGCCCGCACAAGCGGCGGAGCAUGCGGAUUAAUUCGAUGCAACGCGAAGAACCUUACCAAGGCUUGACAUACACCGGUAACGCCCAGAGAUGGGUGCCCCUUUGUGGUCGGUGUACAGGUGGUGCAUGGUUGUCGUCAGCUCGUGUCGUGAGAUGUUGGGUUAAGUCCCGCAACGAGCGCAACCCUCGUCCUAUGUUGCCAGCGGGUCAUGCCGGGGACUCAUGGGAGACUGCCGGGGUCAACUCGGAGGAAGGUGGGAUGACGUCAAAUCAUCAUGCCCCUUAUGUCUUGGGCUUCACGCAUGCUACAAUGGCCGGUACAAAGGGCUGCGAUACCGCGAGGUGGAGCGAAUCCCAGAAAGCCGGUCUCAGUUCGGAUUGGGGUCUGCAACUCGACCCCAUGAAGUCGGAGUCGCUAGUAAUCGCAGAUCAGCAACGCUGCGGUGAAUACGUUCCCGGGCCUU